Molecule: ribosomal RNA, 455 nt
Filed under: uncultured cyanobacterium
Lineage: Bacteria; Bacillati; Cyanobacteriota
Description: bacterial SSU rRNA
Rfam family: Bacterial small subunit ribosomal RNA
Source: RNAcentral
GAUGAACGCUGGCGGUAUGCUUAACACAUGCAAGUCGAACGGAAUACCUUCGGGUAUUUAGUGGCGGACGGGUGAGUAACGCGUGAGAACAUGCCUUUAGAUUGGGGACAACAGUUGGAAACGACUGCUAAUACCGAAUGUGCCGAAAGGUGAAAGAUUAAUUGUCUAAAGAUUGGCUCGCGUCAGAUUAGCUAGUUGGAGUGGUAACGGCACACCAAGGCGACGAUCUGUACUUGGUCUGAGAGGAUGACCAGGCACACUGGAACUGAGACACGGUCCAGACUCCUACGGGAGGCAGCAGUGGGGAAUUUUCCGCAAUGGGCGCAAGCCUGACGGAGCAAUACCGCGUGAGGGAGGAAGCUUUUUGGAGUGUAAACCUCUUUUAUUAGGGAAGAAUUGAUGACGGUACCUAAUGAAUUAGCAUCGGCUAACUCCGUGCCAGCAGCCGCGGUAAU